GAUGAACGCUGGCGGCGUGCCUAAUACAUGCCAGUCGAGCGAACAGACGAGGAGCUUGCUCCUCUGACGUUAGCGGCGGACGGGUGAGUAACACGUGGAUAACCUACCUAUAAGACUGGGAUAACUUCGGGAAACCGGAGCUAAUACCGGAUAAUAUAUUGAACCGCAUGGUUCAAUAGUGAAAGACGGUUUUGCUGUCACUUAUAGAUGGAUCCGCGCCGCAUUAGCUAGUUGGUAAGGUAACGGCUUACCAAGGCAACGAUGCGUAGCCGACCUGAGAGGGGGAUAGGCCACACUGGAACUGAGACACGGUCCAGACUCCUACGGGAGGCAGCAGUAGGGAAUCUUCCGCAAUGGGCGAAAGCCUGACGGAGCAACGACGCGUGAGUGAUGAAGGUCUUCGGAUCGUAAAACUCUGUUAUUAGGGAAGAACAAAUGUGUAAGUAACUAUGCACGUCUUGACGGUACCUAAUCAGAAAGCCACGGCUAACUACGUG
RNAcentral lists this ribosomal RNA (497 nucleotides) under uncultured bacterium. RNAcentral's name for it is "partial 16S ribosomal RNA". It matches the Rfam family "Bacterial small subunit ribosomal RNA", at positions 28 to 507 of the family's 1533-position model. The record is from RNAcentral.